This 252-nucleotide ribosomal RNA is filed under the name uncultured Bacteroidales bacterium. RNAcentral's name for it is "partial 16S ribosomal RNA". It matches the Rfam family "Bacterial small subunit ribosomal RNA", at positions 524 to 776 of the family's 1533-position model. Lineage: Bacteria; Pseudomonadati; Bacteroidota; Bacteroidia; Bacteroidales. The record is from RNAcentral.
UACGGAGGAUGCGAGCGUUAUCCGGAUUUAUUGGGUUUAAAGGGUGCGUAGGCGGACGCUUAAGUCAGCGGUAAAAUUGCGGGGCUCAACCUCGUCGAGCCGUUGAAACUGGGUGCCUUGAGUGGGCGAGAAGUACGCGGAAUGCGUGGUGUAGCGGUGAAAUGCAUAGAUAUCACGCAGAACUCCGAUUGCGAAGGCAGCUUACCAAACUAUAUCUGACGUUGAGGCACGAAAGCGUGGGUAGCAAACAGG